GGCGGCAGGCCUAACACAUGCAAGUCGAGCGGUAACAGAAAGAAAGCUUGCUUUCUUUGCUGACGAGCGGCGGACGGGUGAGUAAUGCCUGGGAAUAUGCCUUAGUGUGGGGGAUAACUAUUGGAAACGAUAGCUAAUACCGCAUAAUGUCUUCGGACCAAAGAGGGGGACCUUCGGGCCUCUCGCGCUAAGAUUAGCCCAGGUGGGAUUAGCUAGUUGGUGAGGUAAAGGCUCACCAAGGCAACGAUCCCUAGCUGGUCUGAGAGGAUGAUCAGCCACACUGGAACUGAGACACGGUCCAGACUCCUACGGGAGGCAGCAGUGGGGAAUAUUGCACAAUGGAGGGAACCCUGAUGCAGCCAUGCCGCGUGUAUGAAGAAGGCCUUCGGGUUGUAAAGUACUUUCAGUCGUGAGGAAGGCAUUGUAGUUAAUAGCUGCAGUGCUUGACGUUAGCGACAGAAGAAGCACCGGCUAACUCCGUG
This 482-nucleotide ribosomal RNA is filed under the name uncultured bacterium. RNAcentral describes it as "bacterial SSU rRNA". It matches the Rfam family "Bacterial small subunit ribosomal RNA", at positions 38 to 507 of the family's 1533-position model. The record is from RNAcentral.